This 588-nucleotide ribosomal RNA is filed under the name uncultured bacterium. RNAcentral describes it as "bacterial SSU rRNA". It matches the Rfam family "Bacterial small subunit ribosomal RNA", at positions 338 to 916 of the family's 1533-position model. The record is from RNAcentral.
CCUACGGGAGGCAGCAGUGGGGAAUUUUGGACAAUGGGCGCAAGCCUGAUCCAGCAAUGCCGCGUGAGUGAAGAAGGCCUUCGGGUUGUAAAGCUCUUUUGUCAGGGAAGAAACGGUUGGGGCUAAUAUCCUCGGCUAAUGACGGUACCUGAAGAAUAAGCACCGGCUAACUACGUGCCAGCAGCCGCGGUAAUACGUAGGGUGCAAGCGUUAAUCGGAAUUACUGGGCGUAAAGCGUGCGCAGGCGGUUUUGUAAGUCUGUCGUGAAAGCCCCGGGCUUAACCUGGGAAUUGCGAUGGAGACUGCAAGGCUUGAAUCUGGCAGAGGGGGGUAGAAUUCCACGUGUAGCAGUGAAAUGCGUAGAGAUGUGGAGGAACACCGAGUGGCGAAGGCAGCCCCCUGGGUCAAGAUUGACGCUCAUGCACGAAAGCGUGGGGAGCAAACAGGAUUAGAUACCCUGGUAGUCCACGCCCUAAACGAUGUCUACUAGUUGUCGGGUCUUAAUUGACUUGGUAACGCAGCUAACGCGUGAAGUAGACCGCCUGGGGAGUACGGUCGCGAAGAUUAAAACUUAAUAGAAGUUGACGG